Molecule: long non-coding RNA, 539 nt
Organism: Triticum aestivum (bread wheat)
Lineage: Eukaryota; Viridiplantae; Streptophyta; Magnoliopsida; Poales; Poaceae
Exons: 4
Source: RefSeq, a predicted model, not a curated record
GGCAUGUCCAGUUCAUGCAACCUUUGCAUCUUUACAUAUCUUUGCCUUACUACCAUUUUAUUUUUGCUGCUUUGGGAUUAGGUUCCGAAGUCAUGCCUUUGCCUUACUGUUGUGCUGAUACUGGAUGCAACAUUGUGGACCUCUGGUUCGAGCAUGGCCACGGAUUGUAGGGGAGGAAUGUAUUGCCUAAUGAGUUGUAUGCUUUCUUCAGAUCCUCUGUGCUCCCUAUCACAUCUGGCUUGGCCACCUAUAGAUUCUUGGGUCCAGGUUCCCGAUCUAAAGCGGAGGAACACGAGGUCGCAUCCAUUAAGUGGCAGAAGGGGGUUGCAACGAUUUUCUUCAGUCUGACAAUCAUAUAGUAAUUAGACGGUGUAGUACUAUGGCGGUGGUAUACUGAUUUGGUGUAAGAAUCACUAACAUGACUUUGCGUGUACAAAUCUUACAGACUUGCUGUUUUUUGUUCAGUUGAAGGGCCCUCCAGGCUUAAGAUCUUUCGAGGAUAAUUGUGUCAUUGAAUCUGAAGGACAAUUUCCUGGAUU